CUACGGGUUGCACCAGUCGAGAAUCUUUUGCAAUGUCCGAAAGGAUGACAAUGCGACGCCGCGUGAGCGAUGAAGCCCUUCGGGGUGUAAAGCUCUGUCAGCCCGGAUGAAUAUCCGUUUUCGAAUAAAAGACGGAGAUGACGGUACGGGCAAAGGAAGCCACGGCUAACUCCGUGCCAGCAGCCGCGGUAAUACGGAGGUGGCAAGCGGUGUUCGGAUUCAUUGGGUGUAAAGGGUAUGUAGGCGUCCCGAUAAGUCAAAUGUGAAAUCCCUUGGCUCAACCAAGGAACUGCAUUUGAAACUGUCGGGAUUGAGUAUGGAAGAGGAGAGCGGAAUUCCCGGUGUAAGGGUGAAAUCUGUAGAUAUCGGGAGGAACACCAGUGGCGAAAGCGGCUCUCUGGUCCAAUACUGACGCUGAAAUACGAAAGCUAGGGGAGCAAACAGGAUUAGAUACCCGUGUAGUC
RNAcentral lists this ribosomal RNA (464 nucleotides) under uncultured bacterium. RNAcentral describes it as "partial 16S ribosomal RNA". It matches the Rfam family "Bacterial small subunit ribosomal RNA", at positions 339 to 795 of the family's 1533-position model. The record is from RNAcentral.